CAAGUAAAGAUGAUUCCAUUAUUCCGAGUCUUGACGUCACUGACAUUGCACCAAGUAGAAAGAGGAGGCAGCGAAUGAUGAGAAACCUUGGGACAGAACCCAAGAUGGCUUCUCAGGGUCCUAAGAUGGCUUCUCAGAGGCAGCAGCUUCCAGGCAAGGAAAUGCUUGACUCUUCACCACCUGAGACAUUGAAAGAGGAGCGCAUCUCGGCUGAAGACAUGUCUUUAGAAAUGCUAAGAAACAGCAACCCAGAAGACCUCUUUGAUGAGAUUUAACAGUCUUAAAAAGUAUUUUGAUGUUUGCUAGUCUGUGUUUUCUAUUUAUAUCUUAAAAAUGAAAAAAAUAAAAUUUCAACUCAACUGCAGCUAUUACUGCACCUCACAGUUUAAUUGCAUGUACCUGAAGAGUUGAAGCCAUUGUGCAAAAUGGAUUGGAUUAUACUUGCUUAUGAAGAUGUGAUUUGAUGGUGGUGGUACCUUAUUCUAAACCAUCCAUUCAGCAUGCCUAUAAUUACAGAAAAUUUCAGACUUUUUGUUGCAAAGGACACAUUUAUCCUGUUCAUUCACACAUUAUGUGGUAGCUAUAUAACAUUUUGUCCAGGAAGAUUUGGGGAAAAGCACAAAGAAAACAUCUUUUUUAAACAUCUGCAGUUCUUUUUGAAUAGUCAUUUUCUGAACAAUGAUGUUUGAGCAUUUUACUCGGUGGCAUGUUAUAUAAAAUCUGAAAAAUAAAAUUUUUGAUAUAUUGGA
Long non-coding RNA from Carlito syrichta (Philippine tarsier), 749 nucleotides. RefSeq lists it as uncharacterized. NCBI's taxonomy places the organism in Eukaryota, Metazoa, Chordata, Mammalia, Primates, Tarsiidae. The record is from RefSeq and is a predicted model, not a curated record. The transcript is spliced from 2 exons.